UACGUAGGGUGCAAGCGUUGUCCGGAAUUAUUGGGCGUAAAGAGCUCGUAGGCGGUUUGUCGCGUCUGCUGUGAAAACCCGAGGCUCAACCUCGGGCCUGCAGUGGGUACGGGCAAACUAGAGUGCGGUAGGGGAGAAUGGAAUUCCUGGUGUAGCGGUGGAAUGCGCAGAUAUCAGGAGGAACACCGAUGGCGAAGGCAGUUCUCUGGGCCGUAACUGACGCUGAGGAGCGAAAGCGUGGGGAGCAAACAGG
RNAcentral lists this ribosomal RNA (253 nucleotides) under uncultured bacterium. RNAcentral describes it as "partial 16S ribosomal RNA". It matches the Rfam family "Bacterial small subunit ribosomal RNA", at positions 524 to 776 of the family's 1533-position model. The record is from RNAcentral.